Molecule: ribosomal RNA, 466 nt
Filed under: uncultured bacterium
Lineage: Bacteria
Description: partial 16S ribosomal RNA
Rfam family: Bacterial small subunit ribosomal RNA
Source: RNAcentral
GAUGAACGCCGGCGGCGUGCUUAACACAUGCAAGUCGAACGAUGAAGCCCAGCUUGCGGGGGGGAUUAGUGGCGAACGGGGGAGUAACACGUGAGUAACCUGCGCUUGAGUCUGUGAUAAGCCUGGGAAACAGGGGCGAAUACAGGAGAUGACUGCUCAUCGCAUGGGGGGGGGGGGGAAGAUUUAUUGGUGUUGGAUGGGCUCGCGGCCUAUCAGCUUGUUGGUGAGGUAAUGGCUCACCAAGGCGACGACGGGUAGCCGGCCUGAGAGGGUGACCGGCCACACUGGGACUGAGACACGGCCCAGACUCCUACGGGAGGCAGCAGUGGGGAAUAUUGCACAAUGGGCGCAAGCCUGAUGCAGCGACGCCGCGUGAGGGAUGACGGCCUUCGGGUUGUAAACCUCUUUCAGUAGGGAAGAAGCGAGAGUGACGGUACCUGCAGAAGAAGCGCCGGCUAACUACGUG